CGUAGGGGGCGAGCGUUGUCCGGAAUCAUUGGGCGUAAAGAGCUCGUAGGCGGCUCGGAAAGUCGGGUGUGAAACCCCCCAGGCUCAACCUGGGGACGCCACCCGAUACUGCUGUGGCUAGAGUCCAGUAGGGGAGUGUGGAAUUCCCGGUGUAGCGGUGAAAUGCGCAGAUAUCGGGAGGAACACCAGCGGCGAAGGCGGCACUCUGGGCUGGAACUGACGCUGAGGAGCGAAAGCGUGGGUAGCAAACAGGAUUAGAUACCCUGGUAGUCCACGCCGUAAACGUUGGGCACUAGGUGUGGGGACCCUCCAACGGUUUCCGUGCCGUAGCUAACGCAUUAAGUGCCCCGCCUGGGGAGUACGGCCGCAAGGCUA
RNAcentral lists this ribosomal RNA (375 nucleotides) under uncultured organism. RNAcentral's name for it is "bacterial SSU rRNA". It matches the Rfam family "Bacterial small subunit ribosomal RNA", at positions 526 to 896 of the family's 1533-position model. The record is from RNAcentral.